This 253-nucleotide ribosomal RNA is filed under the name uncultured bacterium. RNAcentral's name for it is "partial 16S ribosomal RNA". It matches the Rfam family "Bacterial small subunit ribosomal RNA", at positions 524 to 776 of the family's 1533-position model. The record is from RNAcentral.
UACGGGGGGGGCUAGCGUUGUUCGGAAUUACUGGGCGUAAAGCGCGCGCAGGCGGCCUCGCGCGCCCGACGUGAAAGCCCCCGGCUUAACCGGGGAGAGUCGUUGGGGACGGCGGGGCUUGAGGGCGGGAGAGGGUGGUGGAAUUCCCGGUGUAGUGGUGAAAUGCGUAGAGAUCGGGAGGAACACCCGUGGCGAAGGCGGCCACCUGGGCCGACCCUGACGCUGAGGCGCGAAGGCGUGGGGAGCGAACGGG